This 873-nucleotide ribosomal RNA is filed under the name uncultured bacterium. RNAcentral's name for it is "bacterial SSU rRNA". It matches the Rfam family "Bacterial small subunit ribosomal RNA", at positions 56 to 936 of the family's 1533-position model. The record is from RNAcentral.
UGCAGUCGAGGGGUAUAAAUCUUCGGAUUUAGAGACCGGCGCACGGGUGCGUAACGCGUAUGCAAUCUACCUUUUACAGAGGGAUAGCCCAGAGAAAUUUGGAUUAAUACCUCAUAGUAUUAUGAAAUGGCAUCAUUUUAUAAUUAAAGUCACAACGGUAAAAGAUGAGCAUGCGUCCCAUUAGCUAGUUGGUAAGGUAACGGCUUACCAAGGCUACGAUGGGUAGGGGUCCUGAGAGGGAGAUCCCCCACACUGGUACUGAGACACGGACCAGACUCCUACGGGAGGCAGCAGUGAGGAAUAUUGGACAAUGGGCGCAAGCCUGAUCCAGCCAUGCCGCGUGCAGGAUGACGGUCCUAUGGAUUGUAAACUGCUUUUAUACGAGAAGAAACACUGCUUCGUGAAGCAGCUUGACGGUAUCGUAAGAAUAAGGAUCGGCUAACUCCGUGCCAGCAGCCGCGGUAAUACGGAGGAUCCAAGCGUUAUCCGGAAUCAUUGGGUUUAAAGGGUCCGUAGGCGGUUUGGUAAGUCAGUGGUGAAAGCCCAUCGCUCAACGGUGGAACGGCCAUUGAUACUGCCAGACUUGAAUUAUUAGGAAGUAACUAGAAUAUGUAGUGUAGCGGUGAAAUGCUUAGAGAUUACAUGGAAUACCAAUUGCGAAGGCAGGUUACUACUAAUGGAUUGACGCUGAUGGACGAAAGCGUGGGUAGCGAACAGGAUUAGAUACCCUGGUAGUCCACGCCGUAAACGAUGGAUACUAGCUGUUGGAAGCAAUUUCAGUGGCUAAGCGAAAGUGAUAAGUAUCCCACCUGGGGAGUACGUUCGCAAGAAUGAAACUCAAAGGAAUUGACGGGGGCCCGCACAAGCGGUGGA